This 253-nucleotide ribosomal RNA is filed under the name uncultured microorganism. Its description in RNAcentral is "partial 16S ribosomal RNA". It matches the Rfam family "Bacterial small subunit ribosomal RNA", at positions 524 to 776 of the family's 1533-position model. The record is from RNAcentral.
UACGUAGGGGGCGAGCGUUGUUCGGAGUUACUGGGCGUAAAGCGCGCGUAGGCGGUGCAGUAAGUCAGGUGUUAAAGGCUGCAGCUCAACUGCAGUAAGGCCUUUGAUACUGUCGCGCUAGAGUGCCGGAGAGGAUAGCGGAAUUCCCUGUGUAGCGGUGAAAUGCGUAGAUAUAGGGAGGAACACCGGUUGCGAAGGCGGCUACCUGGCCGGUAACUGACGCUGAGGUGCGAGAGCGUGGGGAGCAAACAGG